Long non-coding RNA from Helianthus annuus (common sunflower), 1639 nucleotides. RefSeq lists it as uncharacterized. The record is from RefSeq and is a predicted model, not a curated record. Lineage: Eukaryota; Viridiplantae; Streptophyta; Magnoliopsida; Asterales; Asteraceae. The transcript is spliced from 7 exons.
GAAACCUAAACCCUCUUGAAGGACUUUGCAAUAGGACACGGAUGAUAUUAACACAAUUGCCAUCAAGAAUCAUUGAGGCGCAAAUAAUGGCGGGGAAGUUUAUUGGCAGGCAGCCUACAUAACACAAAGAGGAUGGAAAUCAAGCGUGUACGGGAUAUCAGGCCUAUGGAAAAGCAACAACUUAUAGGAAUCAGGGUUGUUAAGAAAUGGAUUGUGAUUGCUAAGCCAACAAUGAACAAGAAGGGGCGAUGGUAUGGAAGCCACCGGUGACACACUUGAAAUUGAGUACUUUGACUCAAUAAUUCGCCUUAACUCAUGUUAAAAGAUUUUAUUGGUCGUGUCGAGAAGAACUAUCCAUUUACUACCAGUAAGAACGUAAUCCUAACAAAGGUGGUCCUACGCGACUAGCGGAUGAACAGGGUAGAGAUAACUCUUUGGCUAGAGAAAAGAUAUAUAAUCAGGACAGAUGUCGGACCGGGCAACAUUGUGGCAAUCACAUCAACACAAGUUUCAAAAUACUCAAUGAUGCAACUUGAGUCCACCCACCUGACAGAAGUUGCUAUAAACCCUGAUACGCCACAUACUGCAGAAUAUGUUGCCAGGCUGAAAGCACUGCCGCCAGUUCAGCCAGAAGACUUAGAAGAUCCAAUGCUUACUCUUCUGGAUUUAACCUCACCACAAAGAGCAUAAGAGCAGGUUAUCACAUCAAAUUACACAAUAAUUAUUUAUCUUACCAAGAUAAUUAUGAUGUUAGGUCAUUCCAAUAGCAAAUUAUAACCACCAUAAUGCAGAAUUCUACAUGGUUCAGGUGCCAUGCGUGAAUUAAAAAAAAAAAAUUCAUGAAAAUCGUAGCUGGUUCUACAUUCACUGCUGAAAAUGCAACAAGAAAGUCUACCUAGAGUAAGAUGGUUCCUUAAACUACGUCUGUAAAGAUGACGAUGAUAUUUCACCAAAAUUCCUGUAAGCUUUUAGCUGACUUAGUAAUGAUAAAUUUAUACAUGCACUAAACCAUUGCUAAAUACUUAAGCACGUCUAACAAAUCAGGUUCUCCCUUAACGCAAUUAUCAACGACUCAACAAAACCAAUUGAUGUCACAUUCUUUGAUGAAGGGAUGGUCGCCCUGCUGAAAUGAUGACGAACAAUGGCUACACAGAUCCUAAAAUGCUUCCAAAGGAAAUCCAUGACAUGAUUGGAAAACCAAAAAUAAUGCACAUAUCCGUUAGAGGGAAACAAUAUGCCGCCGCCAGUGUUUCGGAUCCUCCUGUUGUGCAUACAUCAACUGACAACAUUCAGCAACAACACAUGGGCGCUCCUCCACCAAAAACACCCAACCCCAAGCUUAACCAACAAAAGCGCCCUCUAGACGAAUCGCCAGGCAAACAUAACAAACUCAACACCACUUAUUGCUUAAGAAGUCUAUUAAUUUUGGGCUUUUUGUAGCCCAGUAAUCUCGCUGAACAUACAGACGUUUUGGGCUCUCUUUAGCCCAUGGGUUGUAUAAGAAGUUUAUCAGUCCUGGCAUUUUGUUAGCCCAUAGAUUGUCUAGAAAGUUUGUUGUUUUUGGGCUCUCUUUUACCCAAUGACUUUGCUGAACAUACCAAGUGACUGCAGUAAAGAGUGAAUCAUUAUCACUAGUGUU